RNAcentral lists this ribosomal RNA (1354 nucleotides) under uncultured Campylobacterota bacterium. Its description in RNAcentral is "uncultured Epsilonproteobacteria bacterium 16S ribosomal RNA". It matches the Rfam family "Bacterial small subunit ribosomal RNA". Lineage: Bacteria; Pseudomonadati; Campylobacterota. The record is from RNAcentral.
ACAUGCAAGUCGAACGAUGAAGCCCUGCUUGCAGGGUGGAUUAGUGGCGCACGGGUGAGUAAAGAAUAGAUUACAUGCCUCAUAGACCGGGACAACAGUUGGAAACGACUGCUAAUACUGGAUAUUCCCUACGGGGGAAAGCUUUUGCGCUAUGAGAUUGGUCUAUUUCCCAUCAGCUAGUUGGUAAGGUAAUGGCUUACCAAGGCUAUGACGGGUAGCUGGUCUUAGAGGACGAUCAGCCACACUGGAACUGAGACACGGUCCAGACUCCUACGGGAGGCAGCAGUGGGGAAUAUUGCACAAUGGGGGAAACCCUGAUGCAGCAACGCCGCGUGAAGGAUGACGCAUUUCGGUGUGUAAACUCCUUUUAUUAAGGAAGAAAUUUGACGGUACUUAAUGAAUAAGCACCGGCUAACUCCGUGCCAGCAGCCGCGGUAAUACGGAGGGUGCAAGCGUUACUCGGAAUUACUGGGCGUAAAGGACGCGUAGGCGGCCAGAUAAGUUAGAUGUGAAAUCCUAUGGCUUAACCAUAGAACUGCAUCUAAAACUAUUUGGCUAGAGUGAGGGAGAGGUCAGUGGAAUUAGUGGUGUAGGGGUAAAAUCCGUAGAGAUCACUAGGAAUACUCAUUGCGAAGGCGACUGACUGGAACUUAACUGACGCUGAGGCGUGAAAGCGUGGGGAGCAAACAGGAUUAGAUACCCUGGUAGUCCACGCCCUAAACGAUGUACACUAGUUGUUGGAAUGCAAGUCAUUUCAGUAAUGCAGCUAACGCAUUAAGUGUACCGCCUGGGGAGUACGGUCGCAAGAUUAAAACUCAAAGGAAUAGACGGGGACCCGCACAAGUGGUGGAGCAUGUGGUUUAAUUCGAAGAUACACGAAGAACCUUACCUGGCCUUGACAUUGAUAGAAUCUGCUAGAGAUAGCGGAGUGCCUUUCGGGGAACUUGAAAACAGGUGCUGCACGGCUGUCGUCAGCUCGUGUCGUGAGAUGUUGGGUUAAGUCCCGCAACGAGCGCAACCCUCGUCCUUAGUUGCCAGCAGUUCGGCUGGGCACUCUAAGGAGACUGCCUUCGCAAGGAGGAGGAAGGUGAGGACGACGUCAAGUCAUCAUGGCCCUUACGGCCAGGGCUACACACGUGCUACAAUGGGGCGUACAGAGAGUUGCGAUACCGCGAGGUGGAGCCAAUCUCAUAAAGCGUCUCUCAGUUCGGAUUGGAGUCUGCAACUCGACUCCAUGAAGCUGGAAUCACUAGUAAUCGUAGAUCAGCUAAGCUACGGUGAAUACGUUCCCGGGUCUUGUACCCACCGCCCGUCACACCAUGGGAGUUGAUUUCGCCCGAAGCGGGGAUGCCAA